Molecule: ribosomal RNA, 578 nt
Filed under: uncultured bacterium
Lineage: Bacteria
Description: bacterial SSU rRNA
Rfam family: Bacterial small subunit ribosomal RNA
Source: RNAcentral
ACGGGUGAGUAACACGUGGGCAAUCUGCCCUUCACUCUGGGACAAGCCCUGGAAACGGGGUCUAAUACCGGAUAACACUUCCACUCGCAUGGGUGGAGGUUAAAAGCUCCGGCGGUGAAGGAUGAGCCCGCGGCCUAUCAGCUUGUUGGUGAGGUAAUGGCUCACCAAGGCGACGACGGGUAGCCGGCCUGAGAGGGCGACCGACCACACUGGGACUGAGACACGGCCCAGACUCCUACGGGAGGCAGCAGUGGGGAAUAUUGCACAAUGGGCGAAAGCCUGAUGCAGCGACGCCGCGUGAGGGAUGACGGCCUUCGGGUUGUAAACCUCUUUCAGCAGGGAAGAAGCGAAAGUGACGGUACCUGCAGAAGAAGCGCCGGCUAACUACGUGCCAGCAGCCGCGGUAAUACGUAGGGCGCAAGCGUUGUCCGGAAUUAUUGGGCGUAAAGAGCUCGUAGGCGGUCUGUCGCGUCGGAUGUGAAAGCCCGGGGCUUAACCCCGGGUCUGCAUUCGAUACGGGCAGACUAGAGUGUGGUAGGGGAGAUCGGAAUUCCUGGUGUAGCGGUGAAAUGCGCAGA